GUGGAACACAAGCAAGCUUAGAUGCCGUUCGAUUUAGGUACAAGGAAGCAUUAAAUGAGUUGGAUGUGAUGAAUAGGGAGUAUAGAGAGGCUACAGCAAACUUGAAGGAGCGGUUGGCUUUUUAUGCAAAGGAAGUGCUCAACCUCAAGAAGGAACUCUCGGGCCAACGGAAGUGAGUAUUAGAUAAUCCGUUUGUAUAUUCAAUCUUUUCUAUAUGGGUGGUGAAAAGCUUAAAAUGUUGUAUUUUACCUCCUUACCCUUUGUAACACAGUAUCUUGUUGUACAUUAUCUGAAAAUAAACUAUGGUGGCACCAAAGUUUAUCAAAACAUUUGUCUAUCUAAAUUGCAUGAUUUUUUAGUGCAAAAAAGGGCUCUUCAAAUGAAAUAGAUUUUACUUGUAGAACUUGUUGCUCCAUGGUUGUACCUUUGCAUUUUUUUUCAGUCAUUUCAAGUCUUUUAGUAUAUGGAUGUGCAAGUAUUUACAACGGGAUAGUGCUCUUUUUCAUUUCUCACUUGACAUGUUCAUUAACCAAAGCAGCGAAUUCGAAACGCAAAAUCUGCUAAAAAGAACAAAUGGUCAUCUAAUCAUGUGGAUGAGAAUUCCAAUUAAGACUUUUCAAAGUGGUCUUUAGUUCAUAUGCUAAUAUUCUCAAUUAAAAGGUUUCACAUGUAAUGGCAAAAAUGUAUUAAUUGGAUGGUAUCACAAAAUUGACACGUUUAUAUUACAUUCCAUUUGUCAGCCACGGCCUCACAAAUCUUUGAAAUACACCAGGCAGCACUCAAUGGAUAUCCAGAAACUGCGAAAAACAGAAAUAAUGACAGUCAAGAUGUUGCUCCAAAUACAAAUCACAUCAAUGACAAUCGUUAAUGUUAAAAUAACUGAUUAGAAUUUGAUAAUGAUACAAAAAUACAUCACCAUAUCAAACCAUAUUAUACUUAAAAUAAAAGCACACACACACUUUUGUUAUUAAUGCACUUUGAAAUUUGCCAAUCCUUAUUGCUUGAACUAGAGAGAAAUAAAUUGAUCUUGCUAACAUAGGAUGAAGUGGAGAACAAUAUAUUGAAGGCAAAACUUCGAAUGAGGCUUCGUGGAACACAAGCAAGCUUAGAUGCCGUUCGAUUUAGGUACAAGGAAGCAUUAAAUGAGUUGGAUGUGAUGAAUAGGGAGUAUAGAGAGGCUACAGCAAACUUGAAGGAGCGGUUGGCUUUUUAUGCAAAGGAAGUGCUCAACCUCAAGAAGGAACUCUCGGGCCAACGGAAGUGAGUAUUAGAUAAUCCGUUUGUAUAUUCAAUCUUUUCUAUAUGGGUGGUGAAAAGCUUAAAAUGUUGUAUUUUACCUCCUUACCCUUUGUAACACAGUAUCUUGUUGUACAUUAUCUGAAAAUAAACUAUGGUGGCACCAAAGUUUAUCAAAACAUUUGUCUAUCUAAAUUGCAUGAUUUUUUAGUGCAAAAAAGGGCUCUUCAAAUGAAAUAGAUUUUACUUGUAGAACUUGUUGCUCC
Molecule: long non-coding RNA, 1502 nt
Filed under: Jatropha curcas
Lineage: Eukaryota; Viridiplantae; Streptophyta; Magnoliopsida; Malpighiales; Euphorbiaceae
Description: long non-coding RNA (JCUR_LNC001278)
Source: RNAcentral